Molecule: transfer RNA, 83 nt
Filed under: Candidatus Moraniibacteriota bacterium
Lineage: Bacteria; Candidatus Moraniibacteriota
Description: tRNA-Tyr
Rfam family: tRNA
About the family: Transfer RNA (tRNA) molecules are approximately 80 nucleotides in length. Their secondary structure includes four short double-helical elements and three loops (D, anti-codon, and T loops).
Source: RNAcentral
GGGUAGGUGGUAGAGCGGUCAAAUACAACAGACUGUAAAUCUGUCGCCUUCGGGCUACGGGGGUUCGAAUCCCUCCCUACCCA